UACGUAUGGGGCGAGCGUUGUUCGGAGUUAUUGGGCGUAAAGGGCGUGUAGGCGGCCUGGUCAGUCGAAUGUGAAAUCCCACGGCUCAACCGUGGAACUGCGUUCGAUACUGCCUGGCUUGAGUAUGUGAGAGGUGUGCGGAAUUCCUGGUGUAGCGGUGGAAUGCGUAGAUAUCAGGAAGAACACCGAUGGCGAAGGCAGCACACUGGCGCAAUACUGACGCUGAGGCGCGAAAGCGUGGGGAGCAAACAGG
RNAcentral lists this ribosomal RNA (253 nucleotides) under uncultured prokaryote. RNAcentral's name for it is "partial 16S ribosomal RNA". It matches the Rfam family "Bacterial small subunit ribosomal RNA", at positions 524 to 776 of the family's 1533-position model. The record is from RNAcentral.